CCCUUCAACUGUGAAACGAAAUUUUCCCUCAAUGAUAUAUGCUGUCUUUUGUCCUUUUGUAAAUGUUUUUGUAAAUUUGGCUGGACCAGAUUCCCACCUAUACAAAAUUAUGUGUCAUAGUUAGUUAGUGUCAAAUUUGGACAUAAAUUCACAUAGAACAAAAGGACCCAAAAAAUCCCUCCAAGGAGAUCUAUAAAUAUCAUUUCAAAUAUAAAAUGAAUCCAAUGGCAUGCACAACAUAAAUCAUAAUUAAUCAUUGCAGGACAUAAAAAAUAACUGAUUAUCUCAUAAUAAUAUAAUUAAAUCUAAGUUCAUGAGAAGUGUCAAAUGGAUCAAAUUAGUUACGUUUUCAAUUAUUUUUCUUAAUAUUGUGAUACUUAUUUAGAUGAGGAUGAAAUGUCUGAAAGAAAUACUUCCACAAUGGACCAAGGAUCAAUAAUGAGAAAGGGUACACUAAACUGAGAAAGGGUAACUAAACAAUAUUUUCAAGAUUAUGAAGCCUAUAACUUGGAUAUCAAAAAAUAGCGAUGGCAUCAAGUUUGAAAUUUUGAGACACAGCAUCUGGAAACAAAAAUAAAAUAAAACAUGAUAUCAGAAAAGAAAAUGGAUGAAAGAAUAUUACACUCCCCAAUUUUUGACUCCAACCAUAUCAAGCUUGGAUUGAGGAGGAUUGGUUUCAAUCUGCACUCCAUUUAUCUCAGAGAUUGUCAUUGUAGUUCACUUUAAGGAGCAAAAG
This 736-nucleotide long non-coding RNA is filed under the name Lupinus angustifolius (narrow-leaved blue lupine). Its description in RNAcentral is "long non-coding RNA (LANG_LNC002907)". Lineage: Eukaryota; Viridiplantae; Streptophyta; Magnoliopsida; Fabales; Fabaceae. The record is from RNAcentral.